UAACUUGAUCUCUCUUUUUCCUCUCAACUAUUAUCUUCUAUUUAAACCCCCAAAACAUUACUCAAAUCACCAAAUCAAAACCACCCUAUUCCUCUUCCUAUUCACCCCUCCCUCUUCCCAAUCAAAAGAAUCUCUCACCCCUUCUCUCUCCUACUCACAACUUCCAUGUCUUGCCAACCAACAUUCACAUGUCUUUGUUUCUAGUGAAAAAAAUAUAAACAAAGAUAAAAUUAUUUCAAACUUUGGUUCUCCACUAACAACUACACUUCUUUUAUCCACACACACACCAAACCCAUCUUCAUCUAUAGUAUUCACAAGCUGA
Vicia faba (fava bean) is the source of this 322-nucleotide non-coding RNA. The record is from the annotation of a GenBank genome assembly. NCBI's taxonomy places the organism in Eukaryota, Viridiplantae, Streptophyta, Magnoliopsida, Fabales, Fabaceae.